UUAAGCGACUAAGCGUACACGGUGGAUGCCCUGGCAGUCAGAGGCGAUGAAGGACGUGCUAAUCUGCGAUAAGCGUCGGUAAGGUGAUAUGAACCGUUAUAACCGGCGAUUUCCGAAUGGGGAAACCCAGUGUGAUUCGUCACACUAUCAUUAACUGAAUCCAUAGGUUAAUGAGGCGAACCGGGGGAACUGAAACAUCUAAGUACCCCGAGGAAAAGAAAUCAACCGAGAUUCCCCCAGUAGCGGCGAGCGAACGGGGAGCAGCCCAGAGCCUGAAUCAGUGUGUGUGUUAGUGGAAGCGUCUGGAAAGGCGCGCGAUACAGGGUGACAGCCCCGUACACAAAAAUGCACAUGCUGUGAGCUCGAUGAGUAGGGCGGGACACGUGGUAUCCUGUCUGAAUAUGGGGGGACCAUCCUCCAAGGCUAAAUACUCCUGACUGACCGAUAGUGAACCAGUACCGUGAGGGAAAGGCGAAAAGAACCCCGGCGAGGGGAGUGAAAAAGAACCUGAAACCGUGUACGUACAAGCAGUGGGAGCACGCUUAGGCGUGUGACUGCGUACCUUUUGUAUAAUGGGUCAGCGACUUAUAUUCUGUAGCAAGGUUAACCGAAUAGGGGAGCCGAAGGGAAACCGAGUCUUAACUGGGCGUUAAGUUGCAGGGUAUAGACCCGAAACCCGGUGAUCUAGCCAUGGGCAGGUUGAAGGUUGGGUAACACUAACUGGAGGACCGAACCGACUAAUGUUGAAAAAUUAGCGGAUGACUUGUGGCUGGGGGGGAAAGGCCAAUCAAACCGGGAGAUAGCUGGUUCUCCCCGAAAGCUAUUUAGGUAGCGCCUCGUGAAUUCAUCUCCGGGGGUAGAGCACUGUUUCGGCAAGGGGGUCAUCCCGACUUACCAACCCGAUGCAAACUGCGAAUACCGGAGAAUGUUAUCACGGGAGACACACGGCGGGUGCUAACGUCCGUCGUGAAGAGGGAAACAACCCAGACCGCCAGCUAAGGUCCCAAAGUCAUGGUUAAGUGGGAAACGAUGUGGGAAGGCCCAGACAGCCAGGAUGUUGGCUUAGAAGCAGCCAUCAUUUAAAGAAAGCGUAAUAGCUCACUGGUCGAGUCGGCCUGCGCGGAAGAUGUAACGGGGCUAAACCAUGCACCGAAGCUGCGGCAGCGACGCUUAUGCGUUGUUGGGUAGGGGAGCGUUCUGUAAGCCUGCGAAGGUGUGCUGUGAGGCAUGCUGGAGGUAUCAGAAGUGCGAAUGCUGACAUAAGUAACGAUAAAGCGGGUGAAAAGCCCGCUCGCCGGAAGACCAAGGGUUCCUGUCCAACGUUAAUCGGGGCAGGGUGAGUCGACCCCUAAGGCGAGGCCGAAAGGCGUAGUCGAUGGGAAACAGGUUAAUAUUCCUGUACUUGGUGUUACUGCGAAGGGGGGACGGAGAAGGCUAUGUUGGCCGGGCGACGGUUGUCCCGGUUUAAGCGUGUAGGCUGGUUUUCCAGGCAAAUCCGGAAAACUAAGGCUGAGGAGUGAUGACGAGGCACUACGGUGCUGAAGCAACAAAUGCCCUGCUUCCAGGAAAAGCCUCUAAGCAUCAGGUAACAUCAAAUCGUACCCCAAACCGACACAGGUGGUCAGGUAGAGAAUACCAAGGCGCUUGAGAGAACUCGGGUGAAGGAACUAGGCAAAAUGGUGCCGUAACUUCGGGAGAAGGCACGCUGAUAUGUAGGUGAAGUCCCUCGCGGAUGGAGCUGAAAUCAGUCGAAGAUACCAGCUGGCUGCAACUGUUUAUUAAAAACACAGCACUGUGCAAACACGAAAGUGGACGUAUACGGUGUGACGCCUGCCCGGUGCCGGAAGGUUAAUUGAUGGGGUCAGCGCAAGCGAAGCUCUUGAUCGAAGCCCCGGUAAACGGCGGCCGUAACUAUAACGGUCCUAAGGUAGCGAAAUUCCUUGUCGGGUAAGUUCCGACCUGCACGAAUGGCGUAAUGAUGGCCAGGCUGUCUCCACCCGAGACUCAGUGAAAUUGAACUCGCUGUGAAGAUGCAGUGUACCCGCGGCAAGACGGAAAGACCCCGUGAACCUUUACUAUAGCUUGACACUGAACAUUGAGCCUUGAUGUGUAGGAUAGGUGGGAGGCUUUGAAGUGUGGACGCCAGUCUGCAUGGAGCCGACCUUGAAAUACCACCCUUUAAUGUUUGAUGUUCUAACGUUGACCCGUGAUCCGGGUUGCGGACAGUGUCUGGUGGGUAGUUUGACUGGGGCGGUCUCCUCCUAAAGAGUAACGGAGGAGCACGAAGGUUGGCUAAUCCUGGUCGGACAUCAGGAGGUUAGUGCAAUGGCAUAAGCCAGCUUGACUGCGAGCGUGACGGCGCGAGCAGGUGCGAAAGCAGGUCAUAGUGAUCCGGUGGUUCUGAAUGGAAGGGCCAUCGCUCAACGGAUAAAAGGUACUCCGGGGAUAACAGGCUGAUACCGCCCAAGAGUUCAUAUCGACGGCGGUGUUUGGCACCUCGAUGUCGGCUCAUCACAUCCUGGGGCUGAAGUAGGUCCCAAGGGUAUGGCUGUUCGCCAUUUAAAGUGGUACGCGAGCUGGGUUUAGAACGUCGUGAGACAGUUCGGUCCCUAUCUGCCGUGGGCGCUGGAGAACUGAGGGGGGCUGCUCCUAGUACGAGAGGACCGGAGUGGACGCAUCACUGGUGUUCGGGUUGUCAUGCCAAUGGCACUGCCCGGUAGCUAAAUGCGGAAGAGAUAAGUGCUGAAAGCAUCUAAGCACGAAACUUGCCCCGAGAUGAGUUCUCCCUGACUCCUUGAGAGUCCUGAAGGAACGUUGAAGACGACGACGUUGAUAGGCCGGGUGUGUAAGCGCAGCGAUGCGUUGAGCUAACCGGUACUAAUGAACCGUGAGGCUUAACCUU
Molecule: ribosomal RNA, 2902 nt
Filed under: Escherichia coli KTE203
Lineage: Bacteria; Pseudomonadati; Pseudomonadota; Gammaproteobacteria; Enterobacterales; Enterobacteriaceae
Description: bacterial LSU rRNA
Rfam family: Bacterial large subunit ribosomal RNA
Source: RNAcentral